GAAGCUGACCAGACAGUCGCCGCUUCGUCGUCGUCCUUUCGGGGAGACGGGCGGAGGGGAGGAAAGUCCGGGCUCCAUAGGGCAGGGUGCCAGGUAACGCCUGGGGGGGAAGCCCACGACCAGUGCAACAGAGAGCAAACCGCCGAUGGCCCACGUAAGUGGGAUCAGGUAAGGGUGAAAGGGUGCGGUAAGAGCGCACCGCGCGGCUGGUAACAGUCCGUGGCACGGUAAACUCCACCCGGAGCAAGGCCAAAUAGGGGUUCAUAAGGUACGGCCCGUACUGAACCCGGGUAGGCUGCUUGAGCCAGUGAGCGAUUGCUGGCCUAGAUGAAUGACUGUCCACGACAGAACCCGGCUUAUCGGUCAGUUUCACCU
Molecule: RNase P RNA, 375 nt
Filed under: Salmonella enterica
Lineage: Bacteria; Pseudomonadati; Pseudomonadota; Gammaproteobacteria; Enterobacterales; Enterobacteriaceae
Also listed under: 3 other names
Description: RNase P RNA component class A
Rfam family: Bacterial RNase P class A
About the family: Ribonuclease P (RNase P) is a ubiquitous endoribonuclease, found in archaea, bacteria and eukarya as well as chloroplasts and mitochondria. Its best characterised activity is the generation of mature 5'-ends of tRNAs by cleaving the 5'-leader elements of precursor-tRNAs.
Source: RNAcentral